This is a long non-coding RNA of Oreochromis niloticus (Nile tilapia), 3699 nucleotides long. RefSeq lists it as uncharacterized. The record is from RefSeq and is a predicted model, not a curated record. NCBI's taxonomy places the organism in Eukaryota, Metazoa, Chordata, Actinopteri, Cichliformes, Cichlidae. The transcript has 6 exons.
CCACUUUUCUAACGCGUUUGAUUAAGAAAUGGCGUAAAAAACGCCGUUUAAUUUUUCAAAACGCCGAGAAAAACGGCGUUCUGUUUCGACAAACGCCGUUUUUUCCGACUCUCACAUGGCGCCCUGAACGCACCAUCCGAGUGACGUAAAAAGCGGCGUUCAAAGACAGACGGAAACGCCGUUUUUUCCGCCACUCGGCAGAAAACGCCGUUCAAAGAUGCAUAAAAACGGCGUUUUUUACGGCGUUCUGUGCCAGCUGUAACGGCGUUUAAAACGGCGUUUUAUUGAAAUUAUGCAGGGCACUCCCCAUGGUUCCCUCAUCCAAUUACUUUCAACUCAUUUCACCCAAUCAAAGAAGACGAAGUGCAGACCACACUAAUGCAUCACCGAUUCACCUUGCUGCUGAGUGAUUGCCUAUUCGGUACCAGUGCUUGUCACAGUAUUGACUUGUAUUAUAAUCCCACUAUGCAUUUUGAUGUGUUUAAGGCAUGAUCAAGCAAACAAACGACAGAAUGCUUUUUCUGAAACCUUAACUGUGGUACCUGUUAUGGCAGCUAACAGGUAAUGAGCAGAGCUAGCUCUGCUAAUUUCUGAGCUUCUUUCUUAUUUUCCUCUUUACUUCUCUUAACCUUUAACUUAUGUCUUAGCAAUCAGAUUCUGCCGUCAUGCAUUACCGCUCCGUGCUAGUUAUGUUGACUUUUCUCUUCUUUUGUCUUCUCUUUUUUCACCCGUAUUUAGACACUCGGCGCAUGGCUCCUUUGUUUACGUUAGGGAUCAGCUGUUAGCGCUGCGCCCUGCAGCUGCGCUACCGGCAGACGGUAGCGUCCCCAGUGAGGGAAGAGACGGGGGUGAUGUCUCCCGAGAAGGACACCUUACACACCAUCUCUCCUUCCUGUAAUCACUGUAAACGUGAGAUCGCUCCCUGAUAUGAUUGAGGAGCUAAUGACGCUAACCCGGUCACAGUGGCAGUACCCCGACACUGCCCGGUACUCCCUCUGUGAGUAGGCUGCCCGGCUUCCAGCUGCUGCGGCCGGACAAGACGAGAGACAGCGGUGAGAGGAAAGGAGGGGGACUGGGCAGUGUUUGUUAAAGACGGUUGUGGUAUCCCUGGGCACAUUGCUGUGAAAGAACAACUCUGCAACAGAGACAUUGAGCUAUUAGCCAUUAGCAUCCGUGGAGGCAGCCUGUGACUCUCUGUGGUCCGCAGACGCAAUCUCCGAGAGCUCUUCUUCUAAUAUCAGGGGACUUUAAUCAUGUCUCGCUGGACUCCACACUGACCACCUUCACCCAGUAUGUGACCUGCCCCACCGUAGGCAAUAAAACAUUGUACUUAAUGUAUGCCAAUGAAAAAGUGGCAUACAGUUCAUCACCUCCCCCUGCCCAGGGAAGAUCUGAUCGUAAUUAGUGCGCCUUGUCCCUGUGUGCAGCACUUAGUGUGCACGGAGCCACCAAUCACCCACGCAGUGCCGAGAUGGUCCGCGGAAGGCAUAUGAAUAAAUAAUAAAAGCAAAUAAAUGACAGAAUGCUUUUUCUGAAACAAACGGAGACCUUAACUUUUAUCAAAAUACCGUUUUACUCAGUUUAAAGUAAUACCACUGUAUAAUAGCCUUCAAAUUUAAUAAUGUUAACAGUAUCUCAGGAAUAUUUUUGCCCCAUCAACAUGCAUUAAAAUUAGAUAUGCAGUUUUGAAUCAGACCUGUAUGUACGUUUUCUGAAAAGUGAUGUAAAUAAAUAAUCUCAAAAACAUGAAAUAAUUGUUUCCCAUGUAAACUGGAGUUGUCCUUGUCAAUGUCAUCAGAGUACUCUGGAUGUCUUACAUGAAUUUGAAACAGAGAGUGGCACAUGACAGCGUUGCACAUAACAUAACUAGUUUACCUGUAUGACAUAAAGUAAUUAAAAUAAAAAAGAAUCCAUGUAACUUGGUUAUGGCUUCUUUCUGGUAACUGUAGAUACAAAUCGGCUGCAGUGUGGAUUAUCUUGACAAAAGUAUAAGAUACUGAACCCGCUGAUAUGAUGUGGUGGAGGAAUACAAAUACCUGGACACCCACAUUUAUACAUUUGCUGAACUGGAAGAUCAAAACAGAGGCUGUACACAAGCAGUGGAUGGGCAGGCUUUUUUUUGUGAGCAAGCUUGUGUGUGCACCAAAAUGUUAAUGACAGGUGUUCUGUCAGUUCAGGUGAGUGCAGUGCACUUUGAUGUGUUCUUCUUGGAUCAGGAGAGCAAGCUCUGUGAUUGGCCGCGCUUCGGAAGCUGUGGUGGAGAGGAAGUGAGUGAACAAACUGCCAUGCAUCAUGGAUAUUCCUCUCAGUCCACCUCAUCAGGCACCUCUCUAAAAGUGUGACUCUGGUCUGUUGCCCCAAAGGAUACAGGAAAUGCACUGAUUUCCAGGACAGAAUCGUGUCUGUUUAAUGCUCCAUGAUGAUAACUUUCCUAUGAGCGUUUGAAGAUCACUGACAUCAUGGCUUUUAGCCUCAUUGUUUCUGCAAAGAGAUUUCUCCAGUCACUGAAUCUUUUGAUAAAAUAUAUUUUUAUGCCUCUAGAGGAUGGAAUAUUUUAAGUCUACAACAAACAAAAGAAACAACGUCUAUUUAUAGAUGACCAGAGAUCAAAGCUGCGAUCAUCCAAAGAGCCUCUUUCACAGUGGUAAAUCCCUACAGGUCACCAUAAAAAAAAGCCAUUGAUUUGUAGUUGAGCGUUAAAUUGCAUUGCAACUGAGCGGGUAUAAAGUACCGGAGAAAAUAGAUUGAAUGUUCUUUUGUUAUGACUGAUUUCUGGUCUAGUUACAGUUCACCAGCUUUAAUAAAAUCAUGUCUACUUGCAAUUUAUGUGUAGUUGACCGGAAAAUUAAAGCAGCGAUCACUUGGACUAUUCCUAGCACCCCCCCUCACAGUGGUACAUCCCUUCAGGUAGCCAUUCACAAGUCUUGUACAGUAGAGCGGGACAUUACAUUUACUCUCAGCGGAAUUCACUGGAGAAGGCAUAUAAGUUCAUGCACUGCACUGGCCUGCACCACGAUUAUUAUAAGGUGGAGUAAUGCACGAAUGGAUAAAAAAGAGUGAGCUGUUGAGGAGCAAAUGGAGAUCCGUGUCCAGGGGAGUGAUGCUAUUGCGAGUGUGAAAGGUUGUCCAGGAAGUAACUAAGAAGACAUGAACAGAGAGGUGGUGAUCCUCAGAGGACCGAUGAAGUAGAGCAGCCAGCACCCCAAGUAGAGCAGGCACUGUGGAAAAAUAGUUGUGACUCAACUAGACCAUUACAAAGUAUGGCCUGGAGGAUUUCAUCUCAAGGUGCAAGAACAUUCUUAAUGACUGUACACGGCGGCUGCUGAUGGACGAUGUUGGGCCAGAUGUGCUACAGUUAGCGUUAAGGAGGUUGGAGACUAUGCAGAGAAGCCUUCAGUGGGCAAGAGGAAGACUGAUCAAUGUAACUGCAGCAGAUCAACUUCUGCGUGACUUGGCUGAAUUGAUUCAGGAGGUCGAACUGUCUACUCAGCAUGGCCAACAAGGCUGUUUUGGAUACCAGGCACCAGUGGUUUUCAACAGAGGUAGAGGUAGAUCCCUUUACCUUAUCACUCGGGAACAGCUUUCAUUCCUGAAGUCAUGUGGAUUCACUGCACCUCAGAUGGCUGAUAUUUUGAAUGUUUCACUUCGUACAAUUCGAAGACGUCUGCGACAGUAUCAUUUCACCCGUGCAUCAAUGUA